RNAcentral lists this ribosomal RNA (294 nucleotides) under uncultured bacterium. RNAcentral's name for it is "partial 16S ribosomal RNA". It matches the Rfam family "Bacterial small subunit ribosomal RNA", at positions 775 to 1067 of the family's 1533-position model. The record is from RNAcentral.
GGAUUAGAUACCCUGGUAGUCCACGCUGUAAACGAUGUCGACUAGCCGUUGGGCUCAUUUAAGGGUUUAGUGGCGCAGCUAACGCGAUAAGUCGACCGCCUGGGGAGUACGGCCGCAAGGUUAAAACUCAAAGGAAUUGACGGGGGCCCGCACAAGCGGUGGAGCAUGUGGUUUAAUUCGAUGCAACGCGAAGAACCUUACCAGCCCUUGACAUCCCGCGGACUUGGUUGAGAGACCGAGGUGCCUUCGGGAGCGCGGUGACAGGUGCUGCAUGGCUGUCGUCAGCUCGUGCCG